ACUCCUACGGGAGGCAGCAGUGGGGAAUCUUGGACAAUGGGCGCAAGCCUGAUCCAGCAAUGCCGCGUGGGUGAAGACGGCCUGCGGGUUGUAAAGCCCUUUAGGCGGGGAGGAACGGCGGGGUGCCAAGACCACCUCGCGCUGACGUUACCCGUGGAAUAAGCACCGGCUAACUCCGUGCCAGCAGCCGCGGUAAU
RNAcentral lists this ribosomal RNA (197 nucleotides) under uncultured bacterium. RNAcentral describes it as "partial 16S ribosomal RNA". It matches the Rfam family "Bacterial small subunit ribosomal RNA", at positions 335 to 524 of the family's 1533-position model. The record is from RNAcentral.